CGGGAAGAGCUCAAAUUUAAAAUCUGGCAGUGUAUUCUGUCCGAGUUGUAGUCUAGAGAAGCAUCAUCCGUGCUGGACCAUGUACAAGUCUCUUGGAACAGGUCAUCAUAGAGGGUGAGAAUCCCGU
This 127-nucleotide ribosomal RNA is filed under the name Ceratobasidium theobromae. RNAcentral describes it as "partial large subunit ribosomal RNA". The record is from RNAcentral. Lineage: Eukaryota; Fungi; Basidiomycota; Agaricomycetes; Cantharellales; Ceratobasidiaceae.